This 572-nucleotide ribosomal RNA is filed under the name uncultured rumen archaeon. RNAcentral's name for it is "bacterial SSU rRNA". It matches the Rfam family "Archaeal small subunit ribosomal RNA", at positions 113 to 687 of the family's 1478-position model. The record is from RNAcentral.
CCUUAGACUGGGAUAACUUGGGAAACUGAGGAUAAUACCGGAUAGGCAAUUAUUCCUGUAAUGGUUUUUUGUUUAAAUGUUUUUUCGCCUAAGGAUGGGUCUGCGGCCGAUUAGGUAGUUGGUUAGGUAAUGGCUUACCAAGCCGUUGAUCGGUACGGGUUGUGAGAGCAAGAGCCCGGAGAUGGAACCUGAGACAAGGUUCCAGGCCCUACGGGGUGCAGCAGGCGCGAAACCUCCGCAAUGUGAGAAAUCGCGACGGGGGGAUCCCAAGUGCCAUUCUUAACGGGAUGGCUUUUCAUUAGUGUAAAAAGCUUUUGGAAUAAGAGCUGGGCAAGACCGGUGCCAGCCGCCGCGGUAACACCGGCAGCUCUAGUGGUAGCAAUUUUUAUUGGGCCUAAAGCGUCCGUAGCCGGUUUAAUAAGUCUCUGGUGAAAUCCUGUAGCUUAACUGUGGGAAUUGCUGGAGAUACUAUUAGACUUGAGACCGGGAGAGGUUAGAGGUACUCCCAGGGUAGAGGUGAAAUUCUGUAAUCCUGCGAGGACCGCCUGUUGCGAAGGCGUCUAACUGGAACG